Molecule: microRNA precursor, 62 nt
Filed under: Podarcis lilfordi (Lilford's wall lizard)
Lineage: Eukaryota; Metazoa; Chordata; Lepidosauria; Squamata; Lacertidae
Source: RNAcentral
AAUGUGUGUGUGUGUGCGUGCGCGUGCGCACGCGCACACACACACACACACACACACACAUA